CGUUAAUCGGAAUUACUGGGCGUAAAGCGCGCGUAGGCGGCUUAUUAAGCCAGAUGUGAAAGCCCCGGGCUCAACCUGGGAACUGCAUUUGGAACUGAUUCGCUAGAGUACGGUAGAGGGUGGUGGAAUUUCCAGUGUAGCGGUGAAAUGCGUAGAGAUUGGAAGGAACAUCAGUGGCGAAGGCGGCCACCUGGACUGAUACUGACGCUGAGGUGCGAAAGCGUGGGGAGCAAAC
Molecule: ribosomal RNA, 235 nt
Filed under: Isochrysis galbana
Lineage: Eukaryota; Haptophyta; Isochrysidales; Isochrysidaceae
Description: partial Bacterial small subunit ribosomal RNA
Rfam family: Bacterial small subunit ribosomal RNA
Source: RNAcentral